GGGCCGGUAGAUCAACGGCUAGAUCGCUUGCCCUGCAAGCAAGAGGCUCUGGGUUCAAAUCCCAGCCGGUCCA
RNAcentral lists this transfer RNA (73 nucleotides) under Candidatus Methanomethylicaceae archaeon. RNAcentral describes it as "tRNA-Ala". It matches the Rfam family "tRNA". From Rfam's summary of the family: Transfer RNA (tRNA) molecules are approximately 80 nucleotides in length. The record is from RNAcentral. Lineage: Archaea; Thermoproteati; Thermoproteota; Methanosuratincolia; Candidatus Methanomethylicales; Candidatus Methanomethylicaceae. RNAcentral also lists the same sequence under 1 other name.